This is a non-coding RNA of Pseudonaja textilis, 795 nucleotides long. NCBI's taxonomy places the organism in Eukaryota, Metazoa, Chordata, Lepidosauria, Squamata, Elapidae. The record is from RefSeq and is a predicted model, not a curated record.
CUGGGAGGUCAUUUAGUCCAACCCCUGCUCAUGCUGGAGGCCCUGGACCGUUUCUGGCAGGGACCAUUUUCUGAAGAAUAAAUGAUUCCCCGCCUGAGCCUGCACUGCCUGCCUUCCCUUCCCAGGAUCGGCAAAAAGAACCAACCGGCUAGUCCUCAGUUUUACGACCAUGCCGUAGCUCCAAAAUUUUCGCAGCUCGGUUAGACUUGAGUUUUGGUCCAUUUUGCGACCUUCCCGUUAAGUGAACCACCGCUGUUCAGCGAGUCACCUGGUGGCUAAGCGAAUCCAGCUUCCUGCCCGUUGAGCCGGUCGCAAAAGGGGAUCGCAGUGACCAUCAUAAAUUGGGAGUCGUUGGCCAAGUCUCUGAAUUUGUGGAUGCUGCAACCGUCGUAAGAGUGAAAAAACGGUCAACUCACUUUUUGAGCGCCCUUGUAACUUGUUCAGAGAUAAUCCUCGACUUAAUGAUUCCUUGAUGGGGCCAAAUCCGGCAUCCCAUCAUUUCACUCUGGAUUGUAAAUAGAAGUUGUCCUUCUCUUAACAAUUGAAGCUAUAACGGAACCGGAAGAAAGACGUAGAGGUCAUCUAGUCCAACCCCCUGCUCAAGCAGGUGGCCCUUAGAGAAAAACACAGUUGGAAGGGGCCUCGGAGGUCAUCUAGUCCAACCCCCUGCAGGAGGCCCUUACAGAACCAUAACGGGAUUAGAAGGGAUCUUAGAGGUCAUCUCCAGCCCCAAGUGUUUGGAACAUCUUGGUAAUCUGUCCAGUAACCAACUCCAGAAGGAUUUGUUUAAUUUAG